This 504-nucleotide ribosomal RNA is filed under the name uncultured bacterium. Its description in RNAcentral is "bacterial SSU rRNA". It matches the Rfam family "Bacterial small subunit ribosomal RNA", at positions 10 to 507 of the family's 1533-position model. The record is from RNAcentral.
AGUUUGAUCAUGGCUCAGAUUGAACGCUGGCGGCAUGCCUUACACAUGCAAGUCGAACGGCAGCACGGGAGCUUGCUCCUGGUGGCAAGUGGCGAACGGGUGAGUAAUACAUCGGAACGUACCCUGAAGUGGGGGAUAACGUAGCGAAAGUUACGCUAAUACCGCAUAUUCUGUGAGCAGGAAAGAGGGGGAUCGCAAGACCUCUUGCUUUAGGAGCGGCCGAUGUCGGAUUAGCUAGUUGGUGAGGUAAAGGCUCACCAAGGCGACGAUCCGUAGCGGGUCUGAGAGGAUGAUCCGCCACACUGGGACUGAGACACGGCCCAGACUCCUACGGGAGGCAGCAGUGGGGAAUUUUGGACAAUGGGCGCAAGCCUGAUCCAGCCAUGCCGCGUGAGUGAAGAAGGCCUUCGGGUUGUAAAGCUCUUUCGGUGGGGAAGAAAUUGCUUCGGUUAAUACCUGGAGUAGAUGACGGUACCCGCAUAAGAAGCACCGGCUAACUACGUG